UCCUUCAAAUUCAUCGUAGUUGCGGUAUUCGCCAUCAGUGAUGAGCACACUGAGCUCAUCAAGGCCUGCAACAUCUUCGGCCGUUUCCUCUUAUGGCUACUCUUUAGUUGAGAGCAACCAGCAUCAAUCUCAAUGGACACAUGCAACAAGAAACCCCUGGGAAAUUGUGGCAGCUAAAGCCAUUGAGUACUUGCUUUCUUCUUU
Molecule: non-coding RNA, 204 nt
Organism: Arachis ipaensis
Lineage: Eukaryota; Viridiplantae; Streptophyta; Magnoliopsida; Fabales; Fabaceae
Source: RefSeq, a predicted model, not a curated record